AAGUCGUAACAAGGUUUCCGUAGGUGAACCUGCGGAAGGAUCAUUAUUAAAAAACAAAACAUAUAAAUUUAUUUAUAUGGAUUGUAUUAGAAUAAUAUUCUUAAAAAUUUAAAUUAAGUUUUUCUUUUCAGAAUUUUAAUUUUUUUUAAUUUAAAUUAUAAACUUAUAAAAAUAAAAUUUAAUUAGCUGGUUUUUAUAAUAUAAAAAUAAGCUGAAAAAAAAUAUAUAUAAAACGAUUUUGGUCUUUAUACAAGAAAAUAAGUCUUAAAAAUAACUUUUAACGAUGGAUCUCUUGGCUCUU
This 301-nucleotide unclassified non-coding RNA is filed under the name fungal sp. RNAcentral describes it as "partial internal transcribed spacer region". The stretch from base 1 to 46 matches the Rfam family "Eukaryotic small subunit ribosomal RNA", at positions 1786 to 1831 of the family's 1831-position model. Lineage: Eukaryota; Fungi. The record is from RNAcentral.